This 492-nucleotide ribosomal RNA is filed under the name uncultured bacterium. RNAcentral's name for it is "partial 16S ribosomal RNA". It matches the Rfam family "Bacterial small subunit ribosomal RNA", at positions 29 to 507 of the family's 1533-position model. The record is from RNAcentral.
AGUGAACGCUGGCGGUAGGCCUAACACAUGCAAGUCGACCGGCAGCACAGUAAGAGCUUGCUCUUACGGGUGGCGAGUGGCGGACGGGUGAGGAAUACAUCGGAAUCUACUUUUUCGUGGGGGAUAACGUAGGGAAACUUACGCUAAUACCGCAUACGACCUACGGGUGAAAGCAUGGGAUCUUCGGACCUUGCGCGAUUGAAUGAGCCGAUGUCGGAUUAGCUAGUUGGCGGGGUAAAGGCCCACCAAGGCGACGAUCCGUAGCUGGUCUGAGAGGAUGAUCAGCCACACUGGAACUGAGACACGGUCCAGACUCCUACGGGAGGCAGCAGUGGGGAAUAUUGGACAAUGGGCGCAAGCCUGAUCCAGCCAUACCGCGUGGGUGAAGAAGGCCUUCGGGUUGUAAAGCCCUUUUGUUGGGAAAGAAAAGCAGCAGGUUAAUACCCCGCUGUUCUGACGGUACCCAAAGAAUAAGCACCGGCUAACUUCGUG